This 253-nucleotide ribosomal RNA is filed under the name uncultured bacterium. RNAcentral's name for it is "partial 16S ribosomal RNA". It matches the Rfam family "Bacterial small subunit ribosomal RNA", at positions 524 to 776 of the family's 1533-position model. The record is from RNAcentral.
UACGAAGGGGGCUAGCGUUGCUCGGAAUUACUGGGCGUAAAGGGCGCGUAGGCGGACAGUUAAGUUGGGGGUGAAAGCCCGGGGCUCAACCUCGGAAUUGCCUUCAAUACUGGCUGUCUUGAGUACGGGAGAGGUGAGUGGAACUCCGAGUGUAGAGGUGAAAUUCGUAGAUAUUCGGAAGAACACCAGUGGCGAAGGCGACUCACUGGCCCGUUACUGACGCUGAGGCGCGAAAGCGUGGGGAGCAAACAGG